This 87-nucleotide transfer RNA is filed under the name Alphaproteobacteria bacterium. RNAcentral's name for it is "tRNA-Leu". It matches the Rfam family "tRNA". From Rfam's summary of the family: Transfer RNA (tRNA) molecules are approximately 80 nucleotides in length. Their secondary structure includes four short double-helical elements and three loops (D, anti-codon, and T loops). Lineage: Bacteria; Pseudomonadati; Pseudomonadota; Alphaproteobacteria. The record is from RNAcentral.
GCGGCCAUGGCGGAACUGGUAGACGCGCAACGUUGAGGUCGUUGUGGGAGAAAUCCCGUGGAGGUUCAAGUCCUCUUGGCCGCACCA